This 21-nucleotide microRNA is filed under the name Mus musculus (house mouse). RNAcentral describes it as "mmu-miR-6926-3p". Lineage: Eukaryota; Metazoa; Chordata; Mammalia; Rodentia; Muridae. The record is from miRBase by way of RNAcentral.
UCACCAUCCCUGUCUCCAUAG